RNAcentral lists this long non-coding RNA (284 nucleotides) under Vigna radiata. RNAcentral's name for it is "long non-coding RNA (VRAD_LNC016709)". The record is from RNAcentral. Lineage: Eukaryota; Viridiplantae; Streptophyta; Magnoliopsida; Fabales; Fabaceae.
AUCAAAAGGACUUUUCCAAGGCUUGUAAUGAGGCUGGGUUAACAAGAAGAAUUGGUUUUCCUGAAAUGCAAAAUCCUUGAGUUAAGAGAGUUAUCAUAGUAUUCACAUUAAAGCACAACUCUCUUCCUCACCAAUCUCACUUAUUCCCAACUUUUUCCCUUUUCUUUUGCAUUGAGCCCAUCUUCAUGCUUUUCUUCUUUUCUUUUCUUUUUCUCAUGUAUUUUUCUUUCACAACAUUUGAGCUCAAUGCUUUUUCAAUUGCCUUUUAGUUUCCCCCAUGCAAC